Molecule: ribosomal RNA, 432 nt
Filed under: uncultured bacterium
Lineage: Bacteria
Description: partial 16S ribosomal RNA
Rfam family: Bacterial small subunit ribosomal RNA
Source: RNAcentral
AGCGAACGCUGGCGGCAGGCCUAACACAUGCAAGUCGAACGAACUCUUCGGAGUUAGUGGCGGACGGGUGAGUAACACGUGGGAACGUGCCUUUUGGUUCGGAAUAACUCAGGGAAACUUGUGCUAAUACCGAAUGUGCCCUUCGGGGGAAAGAUUUAUCGCCAUUAGAGCGGCCCGCGUCUGAUUAGCUAGUUGGUGAGGUAGCGGCUCACCAAGGCGACGAUCAGUAGCUGGUCUGAGAGGAUGACCAGCAACACUGGGACUGAGCCACGGCCCAGACGGCAGGGAGGGGAGGGGGAGGGGAAACUAGGGGAGGGGGCGAGAGCCUGAAGCACCGCGGCCGGGAGAAUGUGGAGGGGGUUGGGAUUGAAAAAUUCUUGCACCGGGGAGUGAAUGAAGGGAACGGGGAAAAAAGCCCCGGCUAAAUAUGUG